GCCUCCCAGGAUUUUAUUUUUGUUGUCUGUUUUGGUUGCUGUUUUUGAGAAAGGGUUUCACCAAAUUGCCCAGGUGGCCUCAAACUUGGGAUCUUACUGCCUCACCCUCCCAAGUAGCUGGGAUCACAGGCGUGUACCAUUGUGCCUGGCUUUUUGGUUAUAAUAAAACUACCAUGUAUAUCUUUAAAAAGAAUUUGUAAAAGAUGCUCAAAUUUGUAAUUGUUUUUAUCACAUAUUUUUUAUUCUGUUCACUUUUUGAAGGGUGGGGUACUGAGGAUUGAACCCAGGGGUGCUCAACCAUUGAUCUACAUCCCUAACCCCUUUAUUUUCUGUUUUAAGACAGGGUCUGGCUAAGUUGCUAAGGCUAUUGUCUAACAUAAGAUCUUCCUGCCUCAGCCUCCUGAGUUGGGCUCAACAUUUUGUUUGAGACUAUUCAUGCAGUUGUAUAUAGCUAUAAUUUGUUCAUUUUCAUUGCUUUACGAUAUUACGUGAACAAAAAUAAUCCUGUUACUGAUAGGCAUUUGAAUUAUAGUGAGGUUUUGGCUGUGUUGAAUACUGCUCUGAACAUUCUUAUAAAUAUCUCUUUGUGAACAUAUAUUUUUUAUGGGUGGAAUUGCUAAGUUAUAGAUGUGCCAUGUCCAAUUUUAGAUAAUCUCAAAUUAUUGUUUUAUUGGUGCAUUAUAAUUAUACUAAUAGUGGGAUUCAUUAUGUGUGUUCAUACAUGCAUAGAACAUAAUUUGAUCAAUGUCAUUCCCUGGUACUCUCCCUAUCCCUCUGUUCUUUCUCCCUUGAUCUGCUUCUCUAUGCUACUGAUCGCCUUUAUAUUGU
RNAcentral lists this long non-coding RNA (828 nucleotides) under Marmota monax (woodchuck). The record is from RNAcentral. Lineage: Eukaryota; Metazoa; Chordata; Mammalia; Rodentia; Sciuridae.